GACGAACGCUGGCGGCGUGCCUAAUACAUGCAAGUCGAGCGCAGGAAAUCGACGGAACCCUUCGGGGGGAAGUCGACGGAAUGAGCGGCGGACGGGUGAGUAACACGUAAGGAACCUGCCCUCAGGUCUGGGAUAACCACGAGAAAUCGGGGCUAAUACCGGAUGGGUCAUCGGACCGCAUGGUCCGAGGAUGAAAGGCGCUUCGGCGUCGCCUGGGGAUGGCUUUGCGGUGCAUUAGCUAGUUGGUGGGGUAAUGGCCCACCAAGGCGACGAGGCAUAGCCGACCAGAGAGGGUGAUCGGCCACACUGGGACUGAGACACGGCCCAGACUCCUACGGGAGGCAGCAGUAGGGAAUCUUCCACAAUGGAUGAAAGUCUGAUGGAGCAACGCCGCGUGAACGAUGAAGGCCUUCGGGUCGUAAAGUUCUGUUGUAAGGGAAGAACAAGUGCCGCAGGCAAUGGCGGCACCUUGACGGUACCUUGCGAGAAAGCCACGGCUAACUACGUGCCAGCAGCCGCAGUAA
This 524-nucleotide ribosomal RNA is filed under the name uncultured bacterium. Its description in RNAcentral is "partial 16S ribosomal RNA". It matches the Rfam family "Bacterial small subunit ribosomal RNA", at positions 28 to 523 of the family's 1533-position model. The record is from RNAcentral.